Molecule: ribosomal RNA, 253 nt
Filed under: uncultured bacterium
Lineage: Bacteria
Description: partial 16S ribosomal RNA
Rfam family: Bacterial small subunit ribosomal RNA
Source: RNAcentral
UACGUAGGGGGCAAGCGUUGUCCGGAAUCAUUGGGCGUAAAGAGCGUGUAGGCGGUCCGGUAAGUCGGCUGUGAAAGUCCAGGGCUCAACCCUGGGAUGCCGGUCGAUACUGCCGGACUAGAGUUCGGAAGAGGCGAGUGGAAUUCCCGGUGUAGCGGUGAAAUGCGCAGAUAUCGGGAGGAACACCUAUGGCGAAGGCAGCUCGCUGGGACGUUACUGACGCUGAGAAGCGAAAGCAUGGGGAGCGAACAGG